RNAcentral lists this ribosomal RNA (549 nucleotides) under uncultured archaeon. RNAcentral describes it as "bacterial SSU rRNA". It matches the Rfam family "Archaeal small subunit ribosomal RNA", at positions 326 to 877 of the family's 1478-position model. The record is from RNAcentral.
CGGGGUGCAGCAGGCGCGAAAACUCCACAAUGUACGACAGUACGAUGGGGUUAUCUCGAGUGCAGUCCGAUAAGGGCUGCUUUUCCAUAGAGUAAUGUCCUGUGGGAAUAAGAGGGGGGCAAGACUGGUGUCAGCCGCCGCGGUAACACCAGCCCCUCGAGUGGUGGGGACUAUUAUUUGGUCUAAAGCGUCCGUAGCUGGCUGUAUCCGUCCCCCGUUAAAUCCAGCGUCCUAAGCGUUGGACUGCGGGUGAUACCAUACAGCUAGAGGGUGGGAUAGGUGAGCGGUAUUUCUGGGGUAGGGGCGAAAUCCUUUGAUCCCAGGAGGACCACCAGUGGCGAAGGCUGCUCACUAGAACACGCCUGACGGUCAGGGACGAAAGCUGGGGCAGCGAACCGGAUUAGAUACCCGGGUAGUCCCAGCUGUAAACGAUGCCAGCUAGGUGUUGGGUCGGCCACGUGCCGCCUCAGUGCCGCAGGGAAGCCGUUAAGCUGGCCACCUGGGGAGUACGGCCGCAAGGCUGAAACUUAAAGGAAUUGGCGGGGGAGC